This 468-nucleotide long non-coding RNA is filed under the name Cyanistes caeruleus (blue tit). RNAcentral's name for it is "lncRNA (ENSCCEG00000022426.1)". The record is from RNAcentral. Lineage: Eukaryota; Metazoa; Chordata; Aves; Passeriformes; Paridae.
CUGAACCUUCCUUUCAUCUCUGCAAUCUCAUUCAGUCCCUCAGCAUUGUGGGGAUGCAGGCAAACCACUAUAAAUAACUGAGCCUUUGCCUGUCAGCUGGUACAAAUACCAGCCACUUCAAACAAUCUGACCUUUCUUGGGGAUUCUGACCAAACUGCAGUGGAAGACAGCUAAUAUCUUCCAGGAUUUUCCAUGAUUAAGGUACAGACACAUUUCCUGGUCCACAGUUAGUGGAGAGAUGCUCAAGAGCACAAAUCCUCAUUCUGUAGGAUCAAUAUGUCUGGUCUGAGCCUACAGGAUGGAUUUCCUAUCAUUUCCUUAUAUCAACUCUUAAGCUGCCCACAGCACAUCUUCUUUGAUUGAGUGAAAUGUCAUUAAGAUGGGAACAGGAUCCAGCUAUCAGUGUACGGGGUUGCUUUGAUGAAUUUUCCAAGCACAUGGGCAGAUACUCUCCUACAGAGAAACAGC